CCCUUAGAUGUUCUGGGCUGCACGCGCGCUACACUGAAGCGUUCAACGAGUAUUCACCUUGCCCGGGAGGGUUGGGUAAUCUUUUUAAAACGCUUCGUGAUGGGGAUAGAUUAUUGCAAUUAUUAAUCUUCAACGAGGAAUUCCUAGUAAGCGCGAGUCAUCAGCUUGCGUUGAUUACGUCCCUGCCCUUUGUACACACCGCCCGUCGCUCCUACCGAUGAAUGGUCCGGCGAGGACUUGGGACUGCAGCACAAUUGUCUGGGGCAACUCGGGCAGUGCAUGCGGAAACUCGUUCAAACCUUAUCAUUUAGAGGAAGGAGAAGUCGUAACA
This 331-nucleotide ribosomal RNA is filed under the name uncultured eukaryote. RNAcentral describes it as "partial 18S ribosomal RNA". It matches the Rfam family "Eukaryotic small subunit ribosomal RNA", at positions 1470 to 1796 of the family's 1831-position model. The record is from RNAcentral.